Molecule: transfer RNA, 55 nt
Filed under: Orobanche elatior
Lineage: Eukaryota; Viridiplantae; Streptophyta; Magnoliopsida; Lamiales; Orobanchaceae
Description: partial tRNA-Leu
Source: RNAcentral
GACUUAAAAUCCGUCGAUUUUUAAAAUCGUGAGGGUUCAAGUCCCUCUAUCCCCA